UACGAAGGGGGCAAGCGUUGUUCGGAAUUACUGGGCGUAAAGGGCGCGUAGGCGGUGCGCUAAGUCAGAUGUGAAAGCCCUGGGCUCAACCCGGGAAUUGCAUUUGAUACUGGCGUGCUCGAAUCCGGGAGAGGUUGGUGGAAUUCCCAGUGUAGAGGUGAAAUUCGUAGAGAUUGGGAAGAACACCGGUGGCGAAGGCGGCCAACUGGACCGGCAUUGACGCUGAGGCGCGAAAGCGUGGGGAGCAAACAGG
Molecule: ribosomal RNA, 253 nt
Filed under: uncultured bacterium
Lineage: Bacteria
Description: partial 16S ribosomal RNA
Rfam family: Bacterial small subunit ribosomal RNA
Source: RNAcentral